This 467-nucleotide ribosomal RNA is filed under the name uncultured bacterium. RNAcentral describes it as "bacterial SSU rRNA". It matches the Rfam family "Bacterial small subunit ribosomal RNA", at positions 330 to 793 of the family's 1533-position model. The record is from RNAcentral.
ACCAGACUCCUACGGGAGGCAGCAGUGAGGAAUAUUGGUCAAUGGGCGGGAGCCUGAACCAGCCAAGUCGCGUGAGGGAAGACGGUCCUACGGAUUGUAAACCUCUUUUGCCGGGGAGCAACGGGGUCCUUGCGAGGGCCCGAUGAGAGUACCCGGAGAAAAAGCAUCGGCUAACUCCGUGCCAGCAGCCGCGGUAAUACGGAGGAUGCGAGCGUUAUCCGGAUUUAUUGGGUUUAAAGGGUGCGUAGGCGGGUCUUUAAGGCAGGGGUAAAAAGCCGGGGGCCAACCCCGGGCGAGCCGUUGAAACUGGCUGUCUUGAGAUGUCGAGAGGUAUGCGGAAUGCGCAGUGUAGCGGUGAAAUGCAUAGAUAUCACGCAGAACUCCGAUUGCGAAGGCAGCAUACCGGCGCGCAACUGACGCUCAUGCACGAAAGCGUGGGUAUCGAACAGGAUUAGAUACCCGUGUAU